This 450-nucleotide ribosomal RNA is filed under the name uncultured bacterium. RNAcentral's name for it is "partial 16S ribosomal RNA". It matches the Rfam family "Bacterial small subunit ribosomal RNA", at positions 354 to 796 of the family's 1533-position model. The record is from RNAcentral.
GUGGGGAAUUUUGGACAAUGGGCGCAAGCCUGAUCCAGCAAUGCCGCGUGUGUGAAGAAGGCCUUCGGGUUGUAAAGCACUUUUGUCCGGAAAGAAAUCUCCUGGGUUAAUACCUCGGGGGGAUGACGGUACCGGAAGAAUAAGCACCGGCUAACUACGUGCCAGCAGCCGCGGUAAUACGUAGGGUGCGAGCGUUAAUCGGAAUUACUGGUCGUAAAGCGUGCGCAGGCGGCUAUGCAAGACAGAUGUGAAAUCCCCGGGCUCAACCUGGGAACUGCAUUUGUGACUGCAUGGCUAGAGUGCGUCAGAGGGAGGGGGAAUUCCGCGUGUAGCAGUGAAAUGCGUAGAGAUGCGGAGGAACACCGAUGGCGAAGGCAGCCUCCUGGGAUGACACUGACGCUCAUGCACGAAAGCGUGGGGAGCAAACAGGAUUAGAUACCCCUGUAGUCC